Molecule: ribosomal RNA, 253 nt
Filed under: uncultured bacterium
Lineage: Bacteria
Description: partial 16S ribosomal RNA
Rfam family: Bacterial small subunit ribosomal RNA
Source: RNAcentral
UACGUAGGGGGCGAGCGUUGUCCGGAAUUAUUGGGCGUAAAGAGCGUGUAGGCGGUUCGGUAAGUCUGCCGUGAAAACCUGGGGCUCAACCCCGGGCGUGCGGUGGAUACUGCCGGGCUAGAGGGUGGUAGAGGCGAGUGGAAUUCCCGGUGUAGCGGUGAAAUGCGCAGAUAUCAGGAGGAACACCGGUGGCGAAGGCGGGUCUCUGGGCCGUAACUGACGCUGAGGAGCGAAAGCGUGGGGAGCGAACAGG